This 520-nucleotide non-coding RNA is filed under the name uncultured Glomus. RNAcentral's name for it is "SSU rRNA". It matches the Rfam family "Eukaryotic small subunit ribosomal RNA", at positions 569 to 1091 of the family's 1831-position model. RNAcentral also lists the same sequence under 1 other name. Lineage: Eukaryota; Fungi; Glomeromycota; Glomeromycetes; Glomerales; Glomeraceae. The record is from RNAcentral.
AGCAGCCGCGGUAAUUCCAGCUCCAAUAGCGUAUAUUAAAGUUGUUGCAGUUAAAAAGCUCGUAGUUGAAUUUUGGAUUCUGCCAAUUGGUCCAUCUUUUAGAUGAGUACUGGUUGUGUGGGGUCUAUCCGCCUGGUGAUACGUAAUGUCCUUUAUUGGAUGUUGCGGGUAGUCAGGACCUUUACCUUGAAAAAAUUAGAGUGUUUAAAGCAGGCUUAUGCCGGAAUACAUUAGCAUGGAAUAAUAGAAUAGGACGAAGUUGUUUUAUUUUGUUGGUUUCUAGGACAACCGUAAUGAUUAAUAGGGAUAGUUGGGGGCAUUAGUAUUCAAUUGUCAGAGGUGAAAUUCUUGGAUUUAUUGAAGACUAACUACUGCGAAAGCAUUUGCCAAGGAUGUUUUCAUUAAUCAAGAACGAAAGUUAGGGGAUCGAAGACGAUCAGAUACCGUCGUAGUCUUAACCAUAAACUAUGCCGACUAGGGAUCGGGCGAUGUUGUUUCCAUGACUCGCUCGGCACCUUAU